AUGCAGCUCUGGUCGCUGGAGGGGGCGGCGGAGAUCAUCGGCGACAAGUGCAUCGUCGAUCGGCUCGACACGCGCACCCACGAACGCGGCCACACCAAGACUUUCGCGUGUUGGGUGUGGGUGUGGGACGUCGCCAACAUCCCCACCAGGCGCAUCAUCUGGAGGGCGAAGCGAGGGGCGGGGCGCGUCGAGGCCAUGCUCGGGCACUCGCCGCCCAGCCGUGAGGUCGCACCGCCACCUGGAGUCAGAAGGCACGACAUGCUGGUCCACGUCGACAGGGUCGAGGACUGGACCCCGCCGUCCCCACGCCCCUCUCGCUCCGCCCGGAGUGGCCUCCCCUCCUCGGGCUCCGACGACGGCGCCCCCUUCCCAGCCGUCUACCCGGGCACCUGGACCCGACGGGUGGAGGACGGGCAGGGCCACGCCAGAAGGCAGCCACAGGCGGUGGCCCCUUCUGGCUGCCAGGGUCUGCAGCUGGGCGGCGCUCACCGCGACCACGACGACCCAGACGGCGAUGGCCACGUCAACCGCCGCUCAUGGAAGGAUACGCUGCUGGGCCGGGGCCACACCAGCCGGCCGCCUACGGCAGCGAAGGACCAGGCGCAGCAGCACCGCAAGCGCAGCAGAACCCCGACCAGCAGGCACCGGGACAAGGGCUGCCGCGGCCGAGACGCGGCCAUCCGCGUCACCCCCCCCCCCUCUUCCACUGCGACGUGCGCCGUCCCCGACUCCACCGCCACCACCACCACCACCUCGACCCCCGCCGCCUCCCUCGGGGGCUGGCCGCGUCCAAGACCCGGUCGAGAUGUUCUUCCAGGACGAGUCCGCCGAGCUGUCCCCGCUAGCGCGUGUUGA
Molecule: ribosomal RNA, 855 nt
Filed under: Triticum aestivum (bread wheat)
Lineage: Eukaryota; Viridiplantae; Streptophyta; Magnoliopsida; Poales; Poaceae
Description: partial small subunit ribosomal RNA
Source: RNAcentral